This is an RNA transcript of Myotis myotis, 13358 nucleotides long. It is a transcript of the gene named crystallin beta-gamma domain containing 1, with no coding region annotated. The record is from RefSeq and is a predicted model, not a curated record. The transcript has 24 exons. Lineage: Eukaryota; Metazoa; Chordata; Mammalia; Chiroptera; Vespertilionidae.
GAGGCGGACGAGAAGAUGCCACUGUCGUCGCCGCCUCAGGGCGACCCCGGGGAGUCCAGCCCGUCCAGGAGCUCCAAGAAGCACACCCCUUUCCACCUCUGGCGCUCCAAGAAGAAGCAGCAGCCUCCGCCGUCGGACUGUGGGGUGUUCGUUCCGCACCCGCCGUCUGAUUGUGGGGUGUUCGUUCCGCACCCGCCCCCGGCGCCCCUCGGCGAGGCCAGAGCUUUGGACAUAGUGGAUGAAGGACAGGUGGCUCAAGAACACCAUGAGUUUACAUCACACGGUGGGGAAUCCCAGUUCUUUCACUCCACCAGUGAGGUGCCUGGUCCUCUACCUGCAGAGUCCGGAUCACUUAAAAAGUCCAGAGCACAACCACCAGAAGAGAACAAAAGGAAGCCAGUGUUGGGGAAACUUGGCAAUCUGUUCGCCGCAGGAAGGAGAAGGAACACCAGAAACGGGUUAGAGAGUCCCACCAGCUCCCAAGCCAAAGCAGCCUCUCCCAAAGACGCAACCUCCUCCCAGCUCCCUGCGCGAGAGGAUGAGAAGAGGGCGUCCCCCAGCAGCCCAGCAAAGCCAGCCGACAGGUGCGGGGAGGGCUUCCCCCAGGAGCAGCCCCAGGAGCCUGAGGGCGAGCGCGCUGAGCCCUGUGUCCAGGGAGCCCCCCGGGACGCCCACCUGUCGCCUUGCCCGAGCAGCCGUGCAGCGGCGGCGGGGCUCCUGUGCCCUAGAAAUGAAUCACCUCAAUUAGAACCUGUGCACUCAGAGGGAGAGCCCUUCCCAGAUGCCACGGCCGCUGCCAAGCAGCUGCAUUCCUCUCUAGAGAAUUCUCCCAGGCGAGAGGACGCAGAGACGCUGGUCCGCAGUCCCGGGGAGGACGCAUUGCCUGGCGCUGCUGGCGCACCGGAGGCGGCCCAGGGUGCGGGGGGAGUUCCAGGGUCGCCCACCGCGGUGCGGGCCGCCGACAGAGACUCGCGUGUGGGUGCCGAGGGAGGCUCCCUGGAGCGCCUAGACGCGUGCAGCCAGCCCCCGGAGGGCGCGUCUGCUCCGCCAGGUGAGCCUCCCGCCGAAGGUGCGGAGAACAGGGCCGGAGGACAGGGGUGCCGGCCGGGCGAGCGCGCCCAUCCCGCUAAAGUGUUAACUUUGGACAUCUACUUGAGCAAGACCGAGGGGGCGCAGGUGGGCGAGCCGGUCGUCAUCGCUCCGGGGACAGAAGAUUGGGACGAUCAGGACGACAUGGAUAAGAGGGCGAGUGGCCGCAGGCCUGGGAGGCGGAGGAAGUCGCAGAAAUCCACCGACUCUCCGAGCCCAGACACGGUGCUGCCGGACGGCGCGGCCAGGGACGACGCGGUGUUCGACUACGAGGUGGCGCCAAACGCGGCCUCGGAGAACAUCUCCGCGGAAAAGAAAGUGAAAUCUCCCCGGGCGGCCCCGGACGGGGGCGCGGCCAGUUCGGAGUCCAAGUCCAGCCCUGGCUCCAAAGGGCAGCCCCGGGGGGAGCCGGAAAGGGGCAAGCAGCCUCUGCCGGCCACGUCCCCCACCAAAAGGAGGGGGAAGAUCCGCGUCCCCGAAGCUGUGCUCAUUCCGUCCGCUGGCAGCCCGCGGGCUCCCGCCAAGGAGUCCCCGCCCAGGCGGGCGCCCGCUCCCGACUCGAGCCCCGCUGCCAAGGCUGCCGCGGGGGAGAACGGGGAGGAGGCGCCCCGAGUCAUCCCCCGCGAGCUCACCGUCCGGAGCAGCUCGCUGCUGCCGGAGAUCAAGCCGGAGCACAAGAGGGGGCCGCUCCCCAACCACUUCGACGGCCGGGGAGAGGGAAGUCGGAGCAAAGAGCUGGGCAGAUCGUCUGGAGGCCCUGACGCCGAGGGCUUGAAGCCCAGGAACCAUUUCGGGGCGGGCAGGUCGACGGUGACCACUAAAGUGACCCUCCCUGCCAAGCCUAAAAAUGUGGAACUAAAUCUUAAAUCUCCUAAGAAUCUUGACAGUUUGGGAAAUGAGCAUAGUCCAUUUAGCCAGCCAGUUCAUAAAGGAAACACUGCCACCAAAAUCUCCUUAUUUGAAAACAAACGGGCAAACAGUAGCCCAAGACACGCUGACAUUCGAGGCACAAGGAACACCCUUGCCUCUAAUAAAACAUUUGUCGGGAGGGCGAAGCUGAAUUUAGCCAAAAAACCCAAAGAAAUGGAGCAACCUGAAAAGAAAGUAAUGCCAGGUAGUCACCACAAUGGUGUUCUGGUGAAGGAAACCUCUGCAGAAACCAAAGUUAUUCUCUCUGAAGAGGAGAUUCUCCCAGCAACCGGGGGUCCUGGAGGAAGAGGAAUGGAAGGGGAGCCCACCGAGGAUCAAGCUCUUGGUCCUCAGCUUAAGCAUGGUGAUCAAGUAGAUGCUGGCUGCCCUUCUGAACCAGUGGCUACUGCUCUGAUUCCUGUCAAGGACCACAAACUCUUAGGAGAGGACGACUCAAAGGCUGCUGACAGCAAAAGACUUGUACUUGAAAAUAGGACUGAGACUUCACAAAACAUUCCCUCCAUUCUUGAUACCAGAGACUCACCAACAGCCACACCAAAACCACAGGAUACUUUUUCUGACUCACAGCCCCCAGCUGAGUCAUCUAAUCAGCCUCAUUCACUGCCUGCACCCAUUCCUGUGGAUGUGCCCAAAGACGCGUGUGCUGAAGCUCCCGUGAGCAGUUUUCCGUGCGCUGAUCUAAAAGUAUCAGAAAACCACAGUGGAUGUAUCUUGCCUGUGUCUCAUCUGGACCAUGAAAAAAUGCCCCCCUCCAAACUUGGAGGAAGAAGAGAUGGAGGAGGAGGAGGAGGAGAAGGAGGAGGAGAAGUCAGCCUUCCCUUGUCCACAGAGCACAGCUCAGAAGUUGUGGGAACUGAGAGUCCAUCCAAGGUCCUGGUCCAGGUCAGGUCCUUCGUCCUUCCCGUGGAGAGCACCCAGGAUGUAAGCUCCCAGAUCAUCUCAGAUAGCUCCGAAGUGAGAGAAGUGCAGUUGCCAAGUUGUCACAAUAAUGAACUUGAAGUGGUUUCCGUUGCAAGUUGUGCUCCCCAGAAAGAGGAAGUACUGGGCAAUAAGAGCACAUCACCCAAACACAUUCAUUGCAAAGAGGAACAUGCAGCAAAAUCUGGCCCACAAGUCCUGCCGCUAGAAUCAGAGAAAACUCUGCCUAUCCAGGCUCAGAGUGAGGGCGACAGAGCACUCCUGGUGGCUGAAUCCAGCCUCACGCACUCCCCUGGUGGCAGAAACCAUUUAGAAACUCCUCAGAGGCCAGAUCAAAGUGUUGUGAACGGCCAGGACAGCCCUGCCAGUCGUUUGAAUGUCUCUGGUGGUAGUGAUGAUAGUGUACUUGACUCUUCUUCUGAUAUGGAAAAAUUCACGGAAAUUAUCAAAAAGAUGGACAGCACUGUGUGUGUGCCUCAGAAGAAGAAGAAAGCCAGGGUGCCAAACUCUCCUACCCCUCACUUUGUCAUGCCUCCUAUUCAUGAGGACCACUUAGAAAAGGUGCUUGAUCCCAACGUGUUUACCUUUGGUUUGGGAAAGAAAAAGGGAAGCCAGCCAGAAAUGUCACCGGCUUUACAGCUGAUGCAGAACGUAGACCCAAAGUCCGCACCGAGGUCCAAACGCAUGUCCACCGAACAGAGUAUCCUCUUCAAGUCCUUGCACGCGCACACGAACGGGAAAGAUGGACCUCUGGCAAACCCAGAAGUGAACGACAAGGAGAACAGGGAGGUCACAAAUGGUGGAGUGAAGAGAUCUAGGCUAGAAAAAAGUGCCCUUUUCUCAAGCAUAUUGUCUUCUUUACCACAAGACAAAAUCUUUUCUCCCUCCGUAACGUCAGUCAAUGCUAUGACCACAACUUUCAGCUCUUCUCAGAACACUUCUCUUUCUCGGUCUCCUGUGUCACAGCCUGUGGCUGAGGGGGCCCCACCCUGCUCUUCAGAAAAAGAACAGCCAGAUCUUCUGCCCAACAACUUCUUAAAGGUCUUCAAUUUCGACUCGUCAAACACAUCUCAUUCAGGCUUGAAAAGUCCAAGCUACAUGGAAAAAUACCUGCAAAAAGAGGAAAGUAAAAAAGAUCUGGAUUCACGAAGCAACCUACACCUGCCAGAAACGAAAUUGUCUGAAUUUUCAAAACCAAAGAACAGCGAUGAUGUGGAAAAGGUGAAUCACGUUGAAAGUGCUCUUACAUCGAACUUGCCGAGCUAUGGGAACAGUGACACAGACUUCAUGGGUCUUUUCAAAUCCAGACGGUUUGACCCAAACAUUUCUUUUUCUGGAAUGCCGUUAUCAGAUCCAACAACGCUUAGAGGAAGUGUCCAAAAUAAAAUCAAUCCCCGACCUGGAAAGGUGGUGAUCUACAGUGAGCCGGAGGUCUCUGAGGCGUGCAUUGAAGUCUUCAGUGACACCGAGGACUGUAGCUCGUGGCGCCUCUCGCCGGUGGUGCUUGUGAAAGUUGUUAGAGGCUGUUGGAUUUUGUACGAGAAACCAAAUUUUGAAGGGCACUCCAUCCCCUUAGAAGAAGGAGAAUUGGAACUUGCUGGUCUCUGGGGUAUAGAUGAUAUUUUGGAAAGAAAAGAGGAGGAAGAGUCUGCUAAACCUGUGGUGAUUGGUUCAAUCAGACAUGUGGUCCAGGAUUACAGAGUUAGUCACAUUGACUUAUUUACUGAACGAGAAGGGCUAGGAGUCGCCAGUUCCUACUUUGAUGACACUGGAGAGAUGCAGGGGUUUGGUGUAAUGCAGAAAACCUGUUCCAUGAAAGUGCACUGGGGCACAUGGCUGAUUUAUGAAGAACCGGGAUUUCUGGGUGUCCCGUUUAUCCUGGAGCCCGGGGAAUACCCUGACUUGUCCUUCUGGAACACAGAAGUGGCCUACAUUGGAUCCAUGCGGCCUCUGAAAAUGGGUGGUCGUAAAGUUGAAUUCCCUGUAGAUCCAAAGGUAGUUAUUUAUGAAAAGCCUUUCUUUGAGGGAAAACGGAUGGAACUGGAAACAGAAAUGUAUAAUUUUAUCACGGAAGGAGGUGAAGCAGAGGAAACCGAUGGAGAUGCCAGUUUGCCGCUGACGUCGGUGGGGUCCAUGAAAGUUCUCAGGGGCAUUUGGGUUGCUUAUGAAAAGUCUGGAUUUACAGGUCAUCAGUACUUGCUUGAAGAAGGAGAAUACAAGGACUGGAAAGAUUGGGGAGGUUACGAUGGAGAACUUCAGUCUUUACGACCUAUAUUAGGUGAUUUUUCAAAUGCUCACAUGAUAAUGUACAGUGAAAAAAACUUUGGAUCCAAAGGUUCCAGUAUUGAUGUAUUGGGAAUUGUUGCUAAUUUAAUGGAGACCGGAUAUGGAGUGAAGACACAGUCUAUUAAUGUACUGAGUGGAGUAUGGGUAGCCUAUGAAAAUCCUGACUUCACAGGAGAACAGUAUAUACUGGAUAAAGGCUUUUACACCAGUUUUGAGGACUGGGGAGGAAAAAAUUGCAAGAUCUCUUCUGUUCAACCCAUAUGUCUGGAUUCUUUCAGUGGGCCAAGGAGACGAAAUCAGAUUCACUUGUUUUCGGAACCACAGUUUCAAGGUCACAGUCGAUGCUUUGAAGAAACAACAAGUCAAGUUGAUGAUUCGUUUUCUACCAAGUCUUGCAGAGUUUUAGGAGGCAGCUGGGUUGCGUACGAUGGAGAAAACUUCUCUGGUAACCAGUACGUGCUGGAAGAAGGCCACUACCCGUGUCUCUCUGCAAUGGGAUGCCUGCCGGGAGCAAGUGUGAAGUCUCUUCGUUUUAUAGAUGUUGAAUUUUCUGAGCCAACAAUUAUUCUUUUUGAAAGAGAAGACUUCAAAGGAAAAAAGAUUGAGCUUAAUGCAGAAGCAGUCAAUCUCCGAUCCCUGGGAUUCAACACGCAGAUACGCUCAGUUCAGGUGAUCGGUGGCAUAUGGGUUACUUAUGAAUAUGGCAAUUAUAGGGGUCGGCAAUUCCUACUGUCGCCAGCAGAAGUACCUAAUUGGUAUGAAUUCAGUGGCUGUCGCCAAAUAGGGUCUCUACGGCCUUUUAAUCAGAAACGUAUUUAUUUCAGACUUCGAAACAAGGCAACAGGGUUAUUCAUGUCAACCAACGGGAACUUAGAGGACCUGAAGCUUCUCAGAAUACAGGUCAUGGAGGACGUCGGCGCUGACGAUCAGAUCUGGAUUUAUCAAGAAGGAUGCAUCAAAUGCAGGAUAGCAGAAGACUGCUGCCUGACGAUUGUGGGGAGCCUGGUCACUUCUGGCUCCAAGCUGGGCCUGGCCCUGGACCAGAGCACCGAGAGUCAGUUCUGGAGCAUGAAAUCCGACGGUAGAAUCUACAGCAAGCUGAAGCCAAAUUUAGUUUUAGAUAUCAAAGGGGGUGCACAGUAUGAUCAAAACCACAUUAUCCUCAACACCGCCAGCAAAGAGAAGUUAACACAAGUGUGGGAAGCCAUGGUCCUAUAACCCUGGACAACGCAGGAGGACUACUACUGGAGGUCUUCCAGCUGCCUUAUUUAAAACGAAGAGGCCUGCGGACAGGAGCCAAGAGGAAAGCGGAUGUGCUCCUCAGCAACUCUAACUUCACUCAUGAAUCACAGUGCCAGGAACGGGACAACUGUCUCAUCUCUUCAAAAGACCAAUAGUUUUAAACCAAUAAUUUGUUCUUCCUUCACUUCUUGCCUGUCAGUUCCUUUCAGCAGCUGCUUAAACAGGUUGCCUCAUUAGCAGCGUUGGGGUGUUUUUUAGGAAAAUCUUAUCUCAAGACGUUAAGACUGUACAUUUUACAUGAUUUCCAAAGACAGUGACAGGAGAGAACAGGAACAAAUUCACCGACUUGGUGGACCUACAUCGCCUUACACUUUAAAGGGAAGGGUAAAGCUUAAGUCUGUAAGGUAGAAACUGUUUAGACCUUAGAAGAAAUAAUGUAUUAGGCCUAUAGUUUUGGUCUUUGACCUUCUGUUUUCUGAAAUCAUUAAUUAUGCUGUAUAGCCAAUUGGGAAAUUAUAUAUUCAGACAUAUGUUAAGGAAUUGAAUGAGUAUAGACAAAACACUUGAAUUAAUAUUAAAAACUAGAAAAUUUAAAAGAUUUCAUGUCCAUCUCUGCUUACAUUUAUUAGCAGGAUUUGGAUUAUUUUAAUUCACCAUGGGCUGCCCUAGAUUUUCACACGAGUGUUGUUUGAAGCUUUUCUUACAGAUGCUGCUAGAACAGUAUACCAUGACCUAAUGUAUUAGCCCAUCCCCACUCAUCUAUAACUAGUUCUGAAGCAAUGUUAUGCAAUCCUUUGCUAAACUCAGGUAUUUUAGCCCAAUUCCCUGCCCUCCCAUCCAGCUGCACUGGCAGGCCUGCGCGGGGCUACCUUACCGGUGAUGUUGCACAGCCAUGCUCUGAGGACAGCUCAGGUCUCAGGGUACUGCCGCCCGUGGUCACUUUGGGUGUGGAAGGCUCAGGAGGAUGACUAGCAAUUCUCCAAAAGGAAAGGACAGGAGGCCUUCAGUGAUGCUUGUUGGUCAAAUCUUAGAACUCUGAAAACCCUAAAAUUCAGCAAGCACUUCAAUGAAAGUUCAAAAUGUUUAACUGCUGACGAUACACUGCCAGAUGGUGCUGUUCAUACUGUGGAUACUCAUUUUGAACAAAACUGCUAAAACAGUCCUUGAACACCCUCUUCCUCUUUCUGUCGUCCUCAGCACUGAAUGCUGGUGCUCUUGUCACAGGAAGAACAAACCUGGUUUCCUUUUCAGGUUUCCCAUUCUGAAGUGUUGAUUCUCUCUGGAGUCUGUGAAAGGCUUCUGGAACUUCAGAAAAAGGAAAGGUUUUUUCAAUAACUGGCUGAAUCUGUAAAACACAAGAAAAGGCUGACUGGUGGGUAAGAACAGCGACAUCCAUCAAGGCAGGUAAUGUCUGUAAUCAGUUUCUUCACUAAGACAGACCCAGUCUCUCUCCGGCCUGUCUGUGCCUCUGGGGAGGAGCUCUCUGCCAGGCCAGGCCUGUGACUGCUGUCCCUGCUCCCAUCAGCUCCUCCUCUCUGUGAGGUAGCCCAGCUGCAUCCUCACGCAACCUAACUUCUGCUCAGGGCUGGUCAUGUCACUCUCCUACUCAGAACCCUUCAACAGCUCCCAAAACUGCAUUCAAAGGCCACCACCAUCCAAACCUCAGCCUUUAUGCAGACUCCACACUUCACCAAAAUGGUCUGCUUGUCAUUGCCUGACAUGGCCAUGAUGAAAACAACAAGUGAGCUGAGGAUCUCCAUGAUACCCCACUGACCUGCCCAACUACACUUGGUCAGAUGUGAGCUAUAGUGAGGCAGCCAGGACCAUGUGCCUCCUCCCCUCGUGUGCCCACAACUGCUGGGAUGGCUGACUUCUCUCCCCUGAGCCCGCCCUCAACGAUGCCUCAGCGUGAGUCAGCUGCUACCAAGGCAUGGAGCUGGCAAGUAUAAUGGAACUCCCCUGCUACUCGAGCUCAGGCACUUAAUAGCUGUGUUAUUUAGGUCAAGCUACUUCUUUCAGACCGUUCCCUGGCCUGCCGAAUGGUGAUGCCACCACCUAGCGCAACAACCCUACAGGGUUGUUGGAAGGAUUAAAGGAGAAUGUAUGUAAAAUGCCUGAUACAUAAAAAGUAUACAAUAAAUGUUCCCCUAGUGCUAAAGUAAAGCUUGCUGAGGAAAGACUGGGGCAAUGUCAAAUGAGAGUUAAGACUACAAAGAAGGACAAAACCAAGCUGUUGUCUAGGCAGAGCUUCACAGCAGGUGUGUCACGAAUGGCUUACGGGUUUGGUCAAGUGACCCUACAGUUUACUGUCUAACCUGGAACAACUGUGAGAGUGAAAGGAGUCACCAUUAAUAAUUAUCCCAAGACCACAGACGCAAACAGACCCAAGUUUACCCUAGAAUAGGUGGAAUGGGACAUGGAUGCCCGUCAGCCCUUGGGAUAGGGCAGAGCCUGGGCUGGAGAGUCUCCAGGUAGUAGCCCUUGGGAUAGGGCAGAGCCUGGGCUGGAGAGUCUCCAGGUAGUUUGCUCCCGGAGGAGCCUCAAUGUGCUCUUCAAAUACUUUCAUAUUCUAUGUGUGUCAGGGCAUGAAAGAGGUCAGGAAACACUGGUCUAGGCAACUAAGUUAAAAAAAAAAAAAGGCAAAAAAUACAGUUUGAAGCACUGGGAUUAUCCCAAGCUUACAGGGGGCCCAGUUAAUUACACUCACAGACCAGCUCAUGUACUUCCUGCUAAGGUCUAGCCUUACGGACUACAAUUAAAACAUUCUGGUAAUUGUUUAGGGGUUUAAAGAAGGAACAGCAGUAGUCACCACCGUCAUGUCUAUAACUCUUUACAGGGGGUUGCCCUGUAAAGUGAAACUUCUGUUCUGCAACAGCAGAACUUUUACUUUUUUUCCAGGCCAUUACAGGAGAGUAAACUGAAGCAGGCAGGAGAGCCCAGAGCAUUACAAUGAGGCUCUAACUGCACAUUCUAGAAAGACAUCAGAAACUACUUAAAAGGUUUUCACAUGAGAUUACCACUAUCAUCUUUCAAGCAGGGAGAAAGGGAAAAUGAAGAGAGCUAUGCCUAUUUUACUCUCAGAGGCCAACUCUGAAGGUUAAAUUGUAAGGGGUCUCACUGGAAUACAAACUGUAAAACCGUUUAGAAAACUUAAACUUAUAUUUUAAAGCUCUUGGAAAGCCUGGGUUUUGUGAAAAAGGAAAGAAGAGACAAAUCAUAGUACGUUUCCUUUCUCUCACAGAGCACCCUGUGCACACUUUCUGGCUGCAUUUGGAUCCAGUGAAAAUGUGCUGUGUUCCCUGUGUUGGGUGUUCACCUCUAUCACCCACACACGGUUCCUAAGAAUUGAGUGCUGGUCUCUUUUAUCACAGCUCUUCGCUACUACUUCUAAGUGUGUAGUUAGUACACAGAAUCCGAGAGACCAAAGUCCUAAAGUUCACUCCCAGAAAGGUCCCAAAUUAAUUUCUAGAAUAAAAAAAAGUUAAGAUAAUUAUCAAGCCAGUCAUCUCACACAUAUGGGUCAGUGAUGGAGGGCUCGACACAGUGACCCACAACCUUUUACUGUAAAGGAACUUUCUACUGCCUUUUUCCUGGGCCUAAAGUAUUUUGUCUAAUUAAUGAAAUAGAAUUUAUCUUCCUUUUUUGUAUCCACCUUCUCACUAAUUCAGAUUUUAAACCAAUGAUUACCACCUUCUCACUAAUUCAGAUUUUAAACCAAUGAUUACCAACAGUGUAUAAGGUGGAAUUAUGUAAGGUUCUGUCACCAUUGUGAGGACAAGGCUAUCACGUUAAGUAAGAACAAACACAAAAGCCACCAGUCCUGUAACCAAGGCUGCGCGUCUCCAGGCCCACCACACACUGGAUGUGUUCAGGUGGGGGACAGAGCUCCUUACAGCCCUGGUAACAGUGGCCCUGUUAACAGUCAGGCUGACUAAUCAAGGGUCAGAAACUCCCAGAAUGCCAUUAAGAGCUAGAGUUUCUGAUCCACAUGGGAUAUGCAGUGUUGGGACAAUCAAUACAAAUCCAGGAAAGGCCUGAUGGUUCUAUGAGUCUUUGUAGUCUCACUGAAGUAAGAGUACAAUUUCCUUCAGGUUUUUGAAAUUCAAAAAUUGCCCAUGGACUUCUAAAGGUCUGAAAGCACCAACUGGGAAUCACUGGCAUAUCCCAAUCCUACGAACAUAAAAACAGCCAGCUGCAGACUUACUAACAUUUUCACCUUCCCAUACAAGAGACCUUAUGUGUUAAGACUGGUGAAGAUAGAGAGCAUCAGAUAUAGGCAAUAAAAAAGCAGAAGGUAUAUCAGAUGGUAACAAUAAAGGCUAACACUUAACAGGACCUUUCAUUGUGCCAAGUCCUUCACAUGGAUGAUCUCAUUUAACCCUUACAACAUGAGGUAAGGCAUAUAUAUAUCCUACUAGCCCCGUGUUACAGGUGAAGACAUCAAGGUCUAGUGACAAAGAUUUGCAAGGGGUCACACAGCUACUAAGGAGGCUAAAAUUUGAACACAGUCAGGGUGUGACUCCAGAGCCCAUGCUUGUCCCCAAGAUGAGGGAAACUGGCUGGGUGGAAAUCAAUUUCCAGGAGCAAGAGGCACUUGCUUGUUCUCGUCAACCAGGACUUGAAUCCUUACCUUUAGUGUCUUAGAGCCCAUGGUGACGCCCGUCUGCAACAUGCCAUCUGCUACGCCCAACCGGUCCAUGUUCAGGAGAAAAGGAGUCACCAAAGUCACGUAUGUGGCUCCUGACCAUUUCUUGAGUAAAUUUAGAGCCCACGUUUCAGUGGACCCACCAACAUUAUCAAGGAUAAAAUCAAACCUGGAAAGGAAGAAGCAAUCAGAAGAUCCUUGUCAGUCUUUACCCAGGGCUCCAACCCCCCUUCAAUCCCAUCACCAGUAGCCAUAGGGUUUCUUUCAGUGACAGUCACAAACUCAGCUGUGCUGUGCUAUCCAGCCGAGGGGUGGCUGCUUUGACAAAGGAGUAAAGGGAAUAGCCACUUACCGAGUCUCUGGCUUUUCUCCUAGAUAAGUCAAACGUGACUGAUUUUUUGUGUCAUAAAAUCAAAUUUUCUAAUACUUUAAGAAUGACUUAAACAAGUGGUUGUUAACACAGGGUGAUUUUAGCUCCCAGGGGACAUAUUAGGCAAUGUCUAGAGACAUUUUUAGUUGUCACAACCCUAUAAGGUGGUGGGAAGAGGCUAAUGACAUCUAAAGGCCAAGGAUGAUAAACACCCUACUGUGCACAUAACAGCCCCUCACAACAAAAAAUUAUCCAGUCCCAAAGGUCAACUGUUGAGAAACCCCGACUCAAGCUCUAUAGAAAACUGCAAAGCUAUCCAUGCGAUAAAAGUAAAAGUCUUCUUUAGUGCACAGAAGCACUGGAAUGACAAAUAUGUAAGGUUUUCACCUACAAAAACAAUUUGCUUUAAUCCCUCUAGAGUUAGAACUGCUUAUAGAAGCAUCCUCUUUCCCUGGAAUGUUCUACUUUUUUUUGUUGUUGUUUCAUGCAUAGCAUCGGGACAAUGUAUAAAGAGCAAUCAACAGCCUGCUCUCAGUCUUCAAUUCUGCUCUAACAUGCCCAGAAAAUCCAGGCAUGAUGGAAUCCACAGGAACUAACAGAUACUCAACUCUUUACGUCUAAUCUAAAGCUGCUAUAAUCACUACAUUCUCCUUAAAGGGGAUAAAACUCAAUAAAGCUUUUAAAUAUUUGUUAAAACAAAAAGAUCUAUUUAGAGACUGUAUGCUUAUACAUUAAGCAAAUUGAUAAAUUUCUUUUUGAUAAAUCCAUUUCUCUGCUAAAUUCAUAUACAUGAAAUCAAGCAUCAGAGCUACGAAAACCAGCUUCGACCAACUUUGUGCAUCUUUAAUCUUUUAUGGACUAAACUAAAGAAGGGCAAAUAAAAAUAGAAGGCUAUGUGUGCAAGAGAAUGACCUUACUAGAAGACUAUUCUUUUCGUUAAAGAGAAUAAAAAUUGUGAAUUUAAGUUUCUAAAGUUUCUGCUUUUAAUUUUCUACUCCCUUCCCAAAUUUUAAAUAAACAAAAAUGAUGAUACUUAUUUUAAAUAAAACUUAAGGGCAGACUGGUAUCAUAGAACAGGCACCACCUGAAAAAGAAGUCCUGAGACCAGGCUGUAGAUGCAGUUCUCCCAUCCAUGACUGAGUGGCAUGACCUUGAGCAUUCAAAACUUAUAUCCCCUCUACCUGAUUUUCUCAACCGUAACAUGAUAGAGUUGGACUGAAGAAUUCUGAAGCCCUUUCCUGCUAUAAGACUCUAAGAUUGAAAUCUAAAAAGCUGUGAUUUAGAAGGAGGAACAAAUUUAUUCUACGUAGAUUCAGAGGCCAAACUUCAGGUAUAAGUUAUAGAGAUGAAUUUUAACUAAAGCUGUCAAAAAAAAAAAAUUGGUCUACAUUUGUAAGCUGAUGAGAUCCCCCUACUGAAAAGGAGUAAACAGGAUAAGCGAUGUGGAGGAGCAAACUGUAGCACAGCUGUGGGGGCUGGUCUGAGUGUGCUACAGCCUUCCAUGUGUCAGGUUCCCUGUUCUCUGGUGACAUACUCCAGACAUGUGUAAAAGGUAAGGUAGAUGGAGGGCAAUGGGUUGGCCUUGGCCUCAGUCUCAUACUGCUUGCUAUUCCUAGAGGCAGCAGAAGGUAUGAGAGCAGCGGAAACUACCACUACCUAGAAACCAGAUCUCGAAGGCCCAGAGAGGCCUAGGUUCUGACACACAGGGUGGAAGGUAGUGGAUAAGAUCUCUGCAAGGGACAGUGUCAUCCCUCACACAUGCCAAGUGAGUUCAGCCACGGGGGCUUUAUAUUUGCUGUUGCCUCCAUCUGGAACAACUGCUCUGCUCCUAAGUUUCCCUCAAUAACUCAGUAAACAAAUAUUUUGGUUGUUGGUUUA